RNAcentral lists this ribosomal RNA (356 nucleotides) under uncultured organism. Its description in RNAcentral is "bacterial LSU rRNA". It matches the Rfam family "Bacterial large subunit ribosomal RNA", at positions 2099 to 2465 of the family's 2925-position model. The record is from RNAcentral.
CUUUACUCUAGCUUGGCACUGAGUCGUACAUAUAUUUGUGCAGGAUAGGUGGGAGACUAUGAAAGAUGGACGCCAGUUCAUCUCGAGUCGUCGUUGAGAUACCACCCUUGUAUAUGUAUGCCUCUAACCCCUUUUUGGGGGGCCGUGCUUGGUGGGGAGUUUAACUGGGGCGGUUGCCUCCUAAAACGUAACGGAGGCGCACAAAGGUAGGCUAGGUCCGGAUGGAAAUCGGACUGGUCGUGUAUUCGCACAAGCCUGCUUGACUGAGAGACCUACAAGUCGAUCAGAGACGAAAGUCGGUGAAAGUGAUCCGGCACCAACAUGUGGGAGUGGUGUCGCUCAACGGAUAAAAGUUA